Molecule: transfer RNA, 78 nt
Filed under: Bacteroidota bacterium
Lineage: Bacteria; Pseudomonadati; Bacteroidota
Also listed under: 3 other names
Description: Bacteroidetes bacterium tRNA-Val
Rfam family: tRNA
About the family: Transfer RNA (tRNA) molecules are approximately 80 nucleotides in length. Their secondary structure includes four short double-helical elements and three loops (D, anti-codon, and T loops).
Source: RNAcentral
GGGUCAUUAGCUCAGUUGGUUUAGAGCGCUGCCUUGACAGGGCAGAGGUCACUGGUUCGAAUCCAGUAUGACUCACCA